UUUCCUACGGGAGGCAGCAGUGAGGAAUAUUGGUCAAUGGGCGGAAGCCUGAACCAGCCAAGUCGCGUGAGGGAAUAAGGCCCUACGGGUCGUAAACCUCUUUUGCCGGGGAGCAAGGGCGGGGACGUGUCCCGGCCCGGAGAGUACCCGGAGAAAAAGCAUCGGCUAACUCCGUGCCAGCAGCCGCGGUAAUACGGAGGGUGCGAGCGUUAAUCGGAAUUACUGGGCGUAAAGCGCUCGUAGGCGGUAUGUCAAGUCAAGGGUGAAAUCCCCGCGCUCAACGUGGGAACUGCCUUUGAAACUGG
RNAcentral lists this ribosomal RNA (305 nucleotides) under uncultured bacterium. RNAcentral's name for it is "bacterial SSU rRNA". It matches the Rfam family "Bacterial small subunit ribosomal RNA", at positions 335 to 636 of the family's 1533-position model. The record is from RNAcentral.